Molecule: long non-coding RNA, 903 nt
Organism: Astyanax mexicanus (Mexican tetra)
Lineage: Eukaryota; Metazoa; Chordata; Actinopteri; Characiformes; Acestrorhamphidae
Exons: 3
Source: RefSeq, a predicted model, not a curated record
UUUUUGGUAUGUCUUUACGCCUGUCUCGAUUGCAUGCUCCUUGGUUCUCUACUCCAUUUAUUCCUUGUUUAUUUCUUGUUUAUUUCAUGUUUUUCUCUUCUAUUCAGUUUCCUGUUUUUGUUUCGUUUGUUAGCCUUCCUGGUUAUUUAUGUAUUUCUGAUAUUUGUUUAUUUUGGUUUGUUCGUUUUUUCUUAGUUUAUUAAUAAUUUCCCUAUUACCGACACUUGUGUCCACUCUCCUCGUCUGUCCCUGGUAACUCUGAGUGAGUUUGAACACUAAACUCUUAUGUGUUCAUAGUAAGGUGAGGUGAAUUAUGGGAGUUGUAGUGAGAGCUGAUAAUAGUCGGUGCAGGUGAAUUAUGGGAGUUGUAAUGAGGGCUGAUAAUAGUGGGUGCAGGUGAAUUAUGGGAGUUGUAGUGAGGGCUGAUAAUAGUAGGUGCAGGUGAAUUAUGGGAGUUGUAGUGAGGGCUGAUAAUAGUGGGUGCAGGUGAAUGAUGGGAGUUGUAGUGAGGGCUGAUAAUAGUGGGUGCAGGUGAAUUAUGGGAGUUGUAGUGAGGGCUGAUAAUAGUGGGUGCAGGUGAAUUAUGGGAGUUGUAGUGAGGGCUAUUGUGAAGCUGAAUGAACAUGGUGAGAUUACCCCUCAUCAUGUUCCUCAUUAUCCCAUGGCCUGGCACACUAUUGCCUCAGAGCUGGCACACACACAGCACCUUCAGGAACAGUGUCAGACCUCCUGCCCCACCACCAGCCACCAUUGUUGUUCCCCUCGUCUGUGUGAGUAAGUGAUCAGCCGUGAAAUUCAGCUCUCAUGCUGACACUGCUGGAAUCCAGCCCAGUAGCAGCAGCAGCAACAGCAGCCCAGCAGCAGGAGUUCUGUGGAUUUAAGCCCUUUUUUUGGAAAAAAAAA